RNAcentral lists this long non-coding RNA (910 nucleotides) under Panax ginseng (ginseng). RNAcentral's name for it is "long non-coding RNA (PGIN_LNC016011)". The record is from RNAcentral. Lineage: Eukaryota; Viridiplantae; Streptophyta; Magnoliopsida; Apiales; Araliaceae.
AUCAAUAAAAUCCGAUAAUCAGAUUUUUGUAUUUUAAGAUCUUAAAAAAUGAUCUUAGAAUACAAAAAUAAGUUUUUUUUGUUGUUGCAAAAAUAGGGGAAUAUAUCAUCUAAAAUGGAGUAAGAAAUUAGGAUAGAAAGACUGUGGAAAUAAUUUGGUCAAAACCAUUGUUUGCUGGGCCUAUAAAUGGCAAGAACUCCAUCUCCAUCUGCAUCUAUGUAUGUAUCUAGGGUUCGGGAAGCACAUUCGAAAGAACGUAGAAAAGCCAUAUCCGAUUAUAUAAUCUAGGUUUGGAUUCUUCUAUCUCCUUAACCAUCUCCUUAUUACUUUCUUCUAUAUCAUGUAAGGGCUGGAUGUAAAUAGGGGAGAGCUUUAUAUACGAUGGCUCUGAAAAACUUGCAGGUACUCUGUAGGGUGCCUUGUCAUUCCUUAGCCCUAUACAUUAAAUUUUAAGAUGGUAUCAUAGUACUGAUUUCGUGCUUGAAAGUUGGUUUGUAUUUGAUUGUGAUGUUUGGCGCUUUGCCAAAUUUCCUUUCGCCUACAAUCCCCUUUCAUUUCGUCACAAAUUCGCUUCCAAACGCCAUUACAUUUCUUUGUUUGCUUAUUAUUAUCUUUCGAUUCUCUAUGUCAUUGACAACAAGUAUUUUUUGAAAACAGUGAUUUUUGAUUCAUAGUUUCAUAUUUUGUAAUUAUACUUUAGUGUUGGUAAUGAAAAAACCUUAGCAUAGGGUGCCUAUGCUUACAAAUGCACAUUGAAAGAACCAUAUUGCCGUUGGUAUUCAGCAGAUUGAAACUAGUUGAUGAAUGGUUAUUAUAAUCAAUAAAAUCCGGUAAUCAGAUUUUUGUAUAUUAAGAUCUUAAAAAAUGAUCUUAAAAUACAAAAAUAAUUGUUUUUUGUUGUUGCAAAAAC